GCCAGCCCGCUCAGAAACUCAAAGGAAUUGACGGGGGCCCGCACAAGCGGAGGAACAUGUGGUUUAAUUCGAUGAUACGCGAGGAACCUUACCUGGGCUAGAACGCAUUCGGAAUCAGGCCGAAAGGCCUGCGCCAGCGAUGGCCGCUUGCGAGGUGCUGCAUGGUUGUCGUCAGCUCGUGCCGUGAGGUGUCGGGGUUAAGUCCCAUAACGAGCGCAACCCCUACUGCUAGUUGCCAGCGGGUCAUGCCGGGGACUCUAGCGGAACUGCCAGCGUAAGCUGCGAGGAAGGUGGGGAUGACGUCAAAUCAGCACGGCCCUUACGUCCAGGGCUACACACGUGUUACAAUGGCCGGUACAGAGGGCAGCCACCCCGCGAGGGGGCGCGAAUCCCGAAAGCCGGUCCCAGUUCGGAUCGGAGUCUGCAACCCGACUCCGUGAAGCUGGAUUCGCUAGUAAUCGCGCAUCAGCCACGGCGCGGUGAAUACGUUCCCGGGCCUU
RNAcentral lists this ribosomal RNA (500 nucleotides) under uncultured Rikenellaceae bacterium. RNAcentral describes it as "bacterial SSU rRNA". It matches the Rfam family "Bacterial small subunit ribosomal RNA", at positions 903 to 1382 of the family's 1533-position model. Lineage: Bacteria; Pseudomonadati; Bacteroidota; Bacteroidia; Bacteroidales; Rikenellaceae. The record is from RNAcentral.